RNAcentral lists this unclassified non-coding RNA (1461 nucleotides) under Pomacea canaliculata. Its description in RNAcentral is "threonine aspartase 1-like, transcript variant X3". The record is from RNAcentral. Lineage: Eukaryota; Metazoa; Mollusca; Gastropoda; Architaenioglossa; Ampullariidae.
GUCCCCUUGUUUUUUGUAGGCAUUCGACAUUAGGACCAGCAAAGUUGUCUGAUUUGAAUAGCUAAUGUUUGGAAAAGCUUCUUCCCAUGAUGGCUGAAAAAGAAGGAAGCUGCAACAGGCUUUUUGUAGCUGUACAUGCAGGGGCUGGAUAUCAUAGUGCUGAGAAGGAAUGUGAAUAUAAGGCUGCUUGCAAGAAAGCUUGCUUACAGGCGAUGUCACUUCUAAAGAAAGGUUACAGUGCAUUUGCUGCAGCUAUUAAAGCUACAGUGAUCUUGGAAGAUGCAGAAUGCACCAAUGCAGGCAGAGGAUCCAACCUGACCUUGACUGGGAGUAUUGAAUGUGAUGCUAGUGUCAUGGAUGGAUCCACUUGCCUCUUUGGUGCAGUGGGAUGUGUGUCUGGAGUCCUGAACCCUGUGCAGCUGGCUGGCAAAUUGAUUGACAUGCAGAAAGACAAUUCUUUAUCUCAUGGUAGGAUUCCUCCAAGUGUGCUUGUGGGAGAAGGAGCCAGAAUCUGGGCUAAGCAACACGGAAUUAAAGUAGAUGAAGACAAUCAACUUAUUACAGAGAAGUCGAAGCGUCAGUAUAAGAAAUACAAGCGCAGAAUUGAGACUGCCACUGAUUCAACUCCAAAGAAGAAAGCAGCUCUGGAUGACAUAUUCUUGUCAGCUCAGAAUGAUGGGACAAGUCUUGAAUCUGAGAAUCUGCAAAAGCAUAUAUCUAAGAAAAAUAAUGGUGCUCAACACAACACAGCCUCACCCCAUGACACAGUAGGGGCCAUAUGUUUGGACAGUCAGGGGAAUCUGGCAGCAGCAGUGUCCAGUGGUGGCAUAUGGCUCAAACACCCAGGGCGGCUUGGUCCUGCUGCUAUGUAUGGUGCUGGCUGCUGGGCACAAAAUCCAGAGAAUGGGUACCCAGGUGUUGCAGUUAUAACAUCUGGCUCAGGUGAGCACUUGAUGAAGACACUUUUUGCCAAGACCUGUGCUGACUGUAUUUACACCACAGAUAAUGCCACCCAAGGACUCAACACGUCUUUUACUUCCCAUUUUUUAGAUUCUAAGCUACUUAAAGGUUUGGACAGUAGACUUGCAGGUGCACUGGCCCUUAAAGUGUUGGAGUCAAAUGAAGGAAGAGAGUUGGAGCUGGUGUGGGGACACACAACACUGAGUAUGGCUCUUGGAUACAUGUGGGGUGAAGACCUGAAACCCAGGGUGCUCAUUUCCAAGUUAAGUGAACAAGCCAAAGAGGGCAAGUCCUUCUCUUUAUCAGGCGCAUUCUUUUCUUCUGAAAAAUCUCCAUGUGUUCAGGAAUGUUGUCUUCACCAAAGCAACCUCAAUGAAAAGGUGUCGCAGUGCUAACUGUGAUGUCUGGAUGCCUCUGCAGUCUUCAGGUCUGCUGCACAGAUAUCUUUUCAUGUUGGGUACAGUAAAUAAACAGUGUCAUACAGACCCUGGCCAGUGCAGA